This 253-nucleotide ribosomal RNA is filed under the name uncultured bacterium. Its description in RNAcentral is "partial 16S ribosomal RNA". It matches the Rfam family "Bacterial small subunit ribosomal RNA", at positions 524 to 776 of the family's 1533-position model. The record is from RNAcentral.
UACAGAGGGUGCAAGCGUUAAUCGGAAUUACUGGGCGUAAAGCGUGCGCAGGCGGUUUUGUAAGUCAGAUGUGAAAGCCCCGGGCUCAACCUGGGAACUGCGUUUGAAACUGCAAGGCUAGAGUGUAGCAGAGGGGGGUAGAAUUCCACGUGUAGCAGUGAAAUGCGUAGAGAUGUGGAGGAAUACCAAUGGCGAAGGCAGCCCCCUGGGUUAACACUGACGCUCAUGCACGAAAGCGUGGGGAGCAAACAGG